AUGGUCUCUAGACUUUUCUGCUGUGUGGCCCUUUGUCUCCUGGGAGCAGGCCCAGUGGAUUCGGGAGUCACUCAGUCCCCCAAACACCUGGUCAAAGCAAGAAAACAGCAAGUGACACUGAAAUGUUCCUAUAUCUCUGGGCACCGCUCCGUGUACUGGUACCAACAAGCCCAGGACCAGGGCCCCCAGUUCCUCAUUGAGUAUUUCAACGGGAAGCAAAGUACAAAAGGAAACAUCCCUGACCAAUUCUCAGUGCAACAGUUCAGUGACUAUCGCUCUGAGCUGACCAUGAGCUCCCUGGAACUCUCGGACUCGGCCCUGUAUCUCUGA
Myotis lucifugus (little brown bat) is the source of this 330-nucleotide non-coding RNA. The record is from the annotation of a RefSeq genome assembly. Lineage: Eukaryota; Metazoa; Chordata; Mammalia; Chiroptera; Vespertilionidae.